AAGGAAAGAAAGAAGAAGGAUUCAUAAUAACUCUAUGAAGUAUGGCUAUUAUUACCAACACUUUAUAGAUGGAGACACCAAGAAGAUCUCUUUGCUGGAGAAGCAAAGAGAUCCAGUGAGCUGAACUGUCUAAAUACAAAUGUGAGAUCUGAGAAGUCCUUGUGUUUAUCAGUAUUUUAGAGAAGAUUAUUUUAAUCAAAGUAGAUGUUGCUUUCUGCCUAGAGGUGAAAGAAUAUAUAGGAGGAAGUCAGUGUAUUUGUUGGAGAAGGGAAGACUAGAGAUAAUGCUACAGAAGUGGAAAAUAAUUACAAAGGGAAGUAGGGAAGUCAAAGAUACACUUUUCUUUUACAGCAGGACUUCACUAAAAUAUCAAAUUACACAUUUUCUGCAGAAGGCUUGUGGGGCAGAUAAACCCCAGUGAAGCUGGAAGAAACCAAACAGAAAGAAAACACCAAGCAAACACUUCGAAGGAGACAUUUUAAACAGGACUGUGGACUAGUAAAGAAGAAAAUUAAACAGGGAAGUAAUUGUGAGAGAAACAGCUGCACCGGGAAACCAACUGUCAGUAAAAAUAACCUCAGGCUGCGCAGAGGGGCUGUAAGGCUUGGAAAGAGUUGCAGAAGCAAAGGCAGCUGCUUUAAUUGGCAGCCCCCACUCCUGCACUCCCUCACAAAUACCCCAUCCUGAGAAGUUCUGCUUUAAGGAUAAUUAGAGGGAAAAGGCACAGUAUUUGAUGGUGCUGUCUGGCAUAAACCCAUCAUCCCACCGGUGACUUGUAUUCCUCACCUUGAAGGGCUCAUUUCUGCAGCAGAGAGUGCACAGGCUGGCCUACUACCUGGACAAACCUUGACCAGGAAGUUAAGAACAUCUGGUGAAAUGCUCGGAGGCCCUGCUUUGCCACAGGUGUGCUGGCAUAUGUAUGGAAGCCAGAGGCUAACAUCAGAUGUCAUCCUCAUUCAUGCUCCAUGUUAUUUUUUGAGACAAGGGCUCUCUGAACCUGGAGUCUCAGAUUCAGGAAGAGUGGCUGGCCAGCAAGCCAAGGAAUCUGUGUGUCCACUUCCACAGCACGAAAUGUCAUCUGAGAAGAAAGAUCCUCAUUGAGAAAACACCCUCAUAAGAUCCAGCUGUAAGCAAGCUUGUAGGGCAUUUUCUUAAUAAUUGAUGGGCAAGGGCCCAGCCUAUUGUGGGAGGUGCCAUCUUUGGAGAGGUGGCCUUGGGGUCUGUACGAAAGCAGGCAGAGCAAGCCACAAGGAGCAAGCCGGUAAGCAGUGCCCCUCCAAUGGUCUCUGAACGAGCUUCUGCCUCCAGGUUCCUGCUCUGUUUGAGUUGCUGUACUUACUUCCUUGAUGCUAAACACUGAUACGGAGUGUAAGCCAAAUAAACCCUUUCCUUCCCAAUUUUUUGGGGGUCAUGGUGUUUCAUCACAGCAAUAGAACCCUAACAAAGAUAACAGGCUUGUCACAUGGGCACCAGGGAUCUGAACUCAGGUCCUUAUGCUUGCAUGGAAAACAGUUUUAUGGGAUGAGCCAUUUUUCCAGCUGUU
This is a long non-coding RNA of Mus musculus (house mouse), 1543 nucleotides long. RefSeq annotates it as predicted gene, 33486. The record is from RefSeq and is a predicted model, not a curated record. NCBI's taxonomy places the organism in Eukaryota, Metazoa, Chordata, Mammalia, Rodentia, Muridae. The transcript has 3 exons.